UGCAGAAUCCCGUGAACCAUCGAGUCUUUGAACGCAAGUUGCGCCCGAAGCCUUCUGGCCAAGGGCACGUCUGCCUGGGUGUCACAC
RNAcentral lists this ribosomal RNA (87 nucleotides) under Hypericum frondosum. RNAcentral describes it as "partial 5.8S ribosomal RNA". It matches the Rfam family "5.8S ribosomal RNA", at positions 73 to 154 of the family's 154-position model. From Rfam's summary of the family: 5.8S ribosomal RNA (5.8S rRNA) is a component of the large subunit of the eukaryotic ribosome. It is transcribed by RNA polymerase I as part of the 45S precursor that also contains 18S and 28S rRNA. The record is from RNAcentral. Lineage: Eukaryota; Viridiplantae; Streptophyta; Magnoliopsida; Malpighiales; Hypericaceae. RNAcentral also lists the same sequence under 1 other name.